CCUACGGGAGGCAGCAGUGGGGAAUCUUGCGCAAUGGGCGAAAGCCUGACGCAGCCAUGCCGCGUGAAUGAUGAAGGUCUUAGGAUUGUAAAAUUCUUUCACCGGGGACGAUAAUGACGGUACCCGGAGAAGAAGCCCCGGCUAACUUCGUGCCAGCAGCCGCGGUAAUACGAAGGGGGCUAGCGUUGCUCGGAAUUACUGGGCGUAAAGGGAGCGUAGGCGGAUAGUUUAGUCAGAGGUGAAAGCCCAGGGCUCAACCUUGGAAUUGCCUUUGAUACUGGCUAUCUUGAGUACGGAAGAGGUAUGUGGAACUCCGAGUGUAGAGGUGAAAUUCGUAGAUAUUCGGAAGAACACCAGUGGCGAAGGCGACAUACUGGUCCGUUACUGACGCUGAGGCUCGAAAGCGUGGGGAGCAAACAGGAUUAGAUACCCUGGUAGUCCACGCUGUAAACGAUGAGUGCUAGUUGUCGGCGAUGCAUGCAUGUCGGGUUGGACGGCGAGACUAACCGACAUUAAGUACGACCUCCGCCGUCGGGGUAGGGUACGGGUCGGCGAAGAAGUUAAAACGUUAAACGUUAAAGUUAAGUAGUUACGGUUGUGAGCGCGCGACGGACGACGACGGAGGGAGGAGG
This 632-nucleotide ribosomal RNA is filed under the name uncultured bacterium. Its description in RNAcentral is "bacterial SSU rRNA". The stretch from base 1 to 530 matches the Rfam family "Bacterial small subunit ribosomal RNA", at positions 338 to 873 of the family's 1533-position model. The record is from RNAcentral.